Equus asinus (donkey) is the source of this 1643-nucleotide long non-coding RNA. Lineage: Eukaryota; Metazoa; Chordata; Mammalia; Perissodactyla; Equidae. The record is from Ensembl.
UGCAGGGGAAGGGUCCAAGGUUCACCAACCGUUAGUGGCCAAACCGGUCGGUGUGACCAGACCAAGCGCAACCUUCAAAAACGCUCUUCUUGCCGUCUUCAGCAAGACAAACAGGGAAAGGCUCCUGUGACUGCCAAAACUUUGCCUGUCAUAAAAACAUCCUCCAUGUCACAGUGACAACCACGAGAACAGAACGGGAGGCAGCAAGGUCUAGAGGAUGAGAUGCAGAACCGGGAAUCAGACCUGUUUCCCAACAAGACCGAGAACUACUUUUAAUUGAGAUGUACAAAGGAGGUGCAGGAGGACAAUAAUUUGUGACUCAAAAAUAACACGCAAGUCAAGAGUUGUGAAUGGAAUUUAGGCAGUGCCUUCAAAUCCUGCAGCCUUCAAUCACUUUAUAAGGAUAGCACAGGCCACCACUGGCUUGGAUAUUGUCACAUUACUCAUCUCUCAUCUGCCUAAUCCACUUUACCACCUACAGUCCAAACAACCAGGAGAGAGAAGUCCGUGUGGACUUUCCCUCAUCAAAAGUGAACCAGGAAACAGUUUCAAAGCAGGUUGUCCAAGCAUACAAGGCUCAUGAAGAAAGGACCUGCUCCCUUUCCUUUGAACUUUGGCUGCUUUCCCUGCUCUCUGAGCAGAACACUGCAGGAAAGAGACAAAACCUGCCUGGCUGGAUCUACCGCUAGUAUGCGCUGGGCCAGCUCAGCUGGGUCCUCACUGCUCUUGGCAACGCAUGGACCUCCUUAUUCACCAGCAGACCACAUGGACAUCUUUACCUUGACUCCAAAUUUUAGUUCCAACUGCAACUCUUCUAAACCAUUCACAUUGAUUCAAGCCUCAAGCACAACUUCAUCACUUUAUUCUGAGCACAAGUCCCCUUUCUACACUCUUAAAAUGUAGGAUAUCUACUCUGAGCUUCCUUAUCUCACAUCUGUCCCCACUUUUCUCUUCCUUUUGCCACCAUCCUACCCACCUCCUACUCACCUCCAUGAGACUGUCAACAUAACAGCCUCUUACUUCUCACUCUCUCUCUCUUUAGACUCUCCUCCCUCCAAUCCAUCCUGAACACUGCCCGCCAGGUUAAUAUUAUUACCUCACCUCUUCGACCAUUUCACGAACAUACUCCAUCAUUUUCAUUGGGUUCUUAUUACCUAAACAGCUUCUUAGCCUAGUUCUCAAGCUCUCAACCAAACCCUAUCUUUCCAGAAUCGCAUCCCUCUCUUCCCCUCUAGAUAGGCAUGCUCUAGUCACCCCUUGGAUUUUCUUGCCUCUGCACCAUUGCUCAAGCCAUUUCUGCCACAUUGAAUGCUCUCUCCUCAUUGCUGGCUAUUUCAAUACUCCCCACAAUCUCAGGGCCAAAUGAUGUACCACUGACUACAUGAAAUCCUGCCUGAUUACAGCUCUAAGCUGUGCACACCUGGAGUUCUUUGUGGCAUUGUUGAUCCACAUGUAAGCAGAUAAUUACUGAGAAGCAUCCACAUGCCAGACACUAUGUUAACCACUGGGAUCACAGCAAUAACCAAGAAAGAGUCAGAGUAAGGUGGACAGUAAAUAGGUAGUAAGGAAUAUGACAGCGGUAAGCAAAGGGUGUUGUGGGAUCCACAUAUAUGAUCCCAUUGAGUCUUGGUGGGAGCCAAGAU